This is a long non-coding RNA of Drosophila grimshawi, 1021 nucleotides long. RefSeq lists it as uncharacterized. The transcript has 3 exons. Lineage: Eukaryota; Metazoa; Arthropoda; Insecta; Diptera; Drosophilidae. The record is from RefSeq and is a predicted model, not a curated record.
AGAAUAAAUAAAUAUAUAUAUAAGAAAAAACCAUUGUAGAAUAUCUAAUCAUGACCUUUGUAAAUUCGUUGCACACAUUUUUAAAAAUUGUACUUAAUUCGUAACACUCUUAAAGACUUUGCGCAUCUAAUGUGAUUUAAUUUGUGAUACAACACAACUCUUGUAAUGGGUUUCUCAUUACAGUAUUCAGUAGAAAGAAAUUGUGUCUUGAAAAUCAGACUUUAUUUUUGCUCAUUUUACCUUAUCAACAAGUGAUAAGAACAUACCCGAUAAUGCAAACCCAGUCCCUCAACGGAAGUCGAAGUGUAAAUUACAGGCAACUCUCAAUUGGAUGACGGACUGAACGACGAAUUGACAAACUGAGGGAGUAAACUGUUAUGCGUCUUCUUUCGCCUUGCACUUUAUCCCAUCUUUGCACGUUAUAUUUAUAUUGGCCCAACUUGAGAUAUCGAAGUAUAUUGAACCAAUAUUGACAUCAGAAUGUUAUUUGCGAGAGUUGAAAUUUAAAAAUAAAGCCAUUUAUGGAUAUAGGGCAUGCUCAAGUCCCGAUAAGAUUUAGAUAAGCAAAGCGGCAAUUUAGUAAGAAAAGCGCUAAUCGGUUUAUAAUUUCAAAAUAUGGUAAAGUAGAUAAACUCACCGUAGAUUGUAAAUAAUUAACAAUUUGACAUUAUCACGUUGGUGGCAAGCAUUUUUUCUCUGUUCCGUUGUGUGUUUCCCCCAAAUUCACACUCCUAAUUAAAAAUGUGCAAUUUAUCAGUCAGAUGUUCAUUUAUUUGUUUUCUGCCAAUAACAUUGACCCGAUUGCACGUAGCUGGCCAUAAACACCACAAAUUAUAUACUUUUUUUUUCAAACCGUGAAAACAAAACGCUUGAAUAAAUUACCGAUUGAAAAAAAAAACACAAAGGAAAAAAUAUUAAAAUAAAACCCAAGCUUAAACCUGUCGAUUUGUGGGUUGAGUGAUCUGACUAACAAAGAGAGGUAAUCAUACAGAAGUGAGAGAGAGAGACACAGAGUAAAUUA